UGGGGAAUAUUGGGCAAUGGGCGCAAGCCUGACCCAGCAACGCCGCGUGAAGGAAGAAGGCCCUCGGGUUGUAAACUUCUUUUAUCAGGGACGAAGAAGUGACGGUACCUGAUGAAUAAGCCACGGCUAACUACGUGCCAGCAGCCGCGGUAAUACGUAGGUGGCAAGCGUUAUCCGGAUUUACUGGGUGUAAAGGGCGUGUAGGCGGGGAAGCAAGUCAGAUGUGAAAUUCCAGGGCUCAACCCUGGAACUGCAUUUGAAACUGUUUUUCUUGAGUGAUGGAGAGGCAGGCGGAAUUCCGUG
This 303-nucleotide ribosomal RNA is filed under the name uncultured bacterium. Its description in RNAcentral is "bacterial SSU rRNA". It matches the Rfam family "Bacterial small subunit ribosomal RNA", at positions 355 to 673 of the family's 1533-position model. The record is from RNAcentral.